This 544-nucleotide ribosomal RNA is filed under the name uncultured bacterium. RNAcentral's name for it is "partial 16S ribosomal RNA". It matches the Rfam family "Bacterial small subunit ribosomal RNA", at positions 355 to 914 of the family's 1533-position model. The record is from RNAcentral.
UGGGGAAUAUUGCACAAUGGGCGAAAGCCUGAUGCAGCAACGCCGCGUGAGUGAUGAAGGCCUUCGGGUUGUAAAGCUCUGUCUUUUGGGACGAUAAUGACGGUACCAAAGGAGGAAGCCACGGCUAACUACGUGCCAGCAGCCGCGGUAAUACGUAGGUGGCAAGCGUCGUCCGGAUUUACUGGGCGUAAAGGAUGCGUAGGCGGAUUUUUAAGUGAGAUGUGAAAUACCCGGGCUUAACUUGGGUGCUGCAUUUCAAACUGGGAAUCUAGAGUGCGGGAGAGGAGAAUGGAAUUCCUAGUGUAGCGGUGAAAUGCGUAGAGAUUAGGAAGAACACCAGUGGCGAAGGCGAUUCUCUGGACCGUAACUGACGCUGAGGCAUGAAAGCGUGGGUAGCAAACAGGAUUAGAUACCCUGGUAGUCCACGCCGUAAACGAUGAGUACUAGGUGUAGGAGGUAUCGACCCCUUCUGUGCCGCAGUUAACACAAUCAAGUACUCCGCCUGGGAAGUACGAUCGCAAGAUUAAAACUCAAAUGAAUUGAC